GAGUUUGAUCGUGGCUCAGAUUGAACGCUGGCGGCAUGCCUUACACAUGCAAGUCGAGCGGCAGCGCGGGGGCAACCCUGGCGGCGAGCGGCGAACGGGUGAGUAAUGCAUCGGAACGUGUCCUCUUGUGGGGGAUAACCAGUCGAAAGACUGGCUAAUACCGCAUGAGAAUCGAGAGAUGAAAGCAGGGGACCGCAAGGCCUUGCGCGAGAGGAGCGGCCGAUGCCGGAUUAGCUAGUUGUGGGUAACGCCUACCAAGGCGACGAUCCGUAGCUGGUCUGAGAGGAUGAUCAGCCACACUGGGACUGAGACACGGCCCAGACUCCUACGGGAGGCAGCAGUGGGG
RNAcentral lists this ribosomal RNA (346 nucleotides) under uncultured beta proteobacterium. RNAcentral's name for it is "bacterial SSU rRNA". It matches the Rfam family "Bacterial small subunit ribosomal RNA", at positions 9 to 359 of the family's 1533-position model. Lineage: Bacteria; Pseudomonadati; Pseudomonadota; Betaproteobacteria. The record is from RNAcentral.